Molecule: transfer RNA, 124 nt
Filed under: Plectonema cf. radiosum LEGE 06105
Lineage: Bacteria; Bacillati; Cyanobacteriota; Cyanophyceae; Oscillatoriales; Microcoleaceae
Also listed under: 1 other name
Description: tRNA-OTHER
Rfam family: tRNA
About the family: Transfer RNA (tRNA) molecules are approximately 80 nucleotides in length. Their secondary structure includes four short double-helical elements and three loops (D, anti-codon, and T loops).
Source: RNAcentral
UGGCGAGUAGCUCAGUUGGUAGAGCGCCUAAACGUCUUUGUUCAAAACUUGCCUGAAAAGGACGAUGAAUAAAGGUUAUCGCUUGUAAUGCGGGAUGUCGCAGGUUCGAGUCCUGCUUCGCCAC